This 793-nucleotide ribosomal RNA is filed under the name uncultured archaeon. RNAcentral's name for it is "bacterial SSU rRNA". It matches the Rfam family "Archaeal small subunit ribosomal RNA", at positions 85 to 879 of the family's 1478-position model. The record is from RNAcentral.
ACUGCUCAGUAACACGUGGACAACCUACCCUCAGCACGGGGAUAAACCCGGGAAACUGGGUAUAAUACCCGAUAGUUCUGGGAUGCUGGAAUGCUUCCAGGACGAAAGCUCCGGCGACUGAGGAUGGGUCUGCGGCCUAUCAGGUAGUAGUGGGUGUAAUGUACCUACUAGCCUACGACGGGUACGGGUCGUGAGAGCGAGAGCCCGGAGAUGGAUUCUGAGACACGAAUCCAGGCCCUACGGGGUGCAGCAGGCGCGAAAACUUUACAAUGCUGGCAACAGCGAUAAGGGGACCUCGAGUGCCAGGAUACAAUCUUGGCUGUCGUGAUGCCUAAAAAGCAUUGCAUAGCAAGGGCCGGGCAAGACCGGUGCCAGCCGCCGCGGUAACACCGGCGGCUCGAGUGGUAACCGCUAUUAUUGGGUCUAAAGGGUCUGUAGCCGGCCGGAUAAGUCUUUUGGGAAAUCCAGCUGCUCAACAGUUGGGCUUUCAGAAGAUACUGUUCGGCUCGAGGCCGGGAGAGGUGAGAGGUACUUCAGGGGUAGGGGUGAAAUCUUGUAAUCCUUGAAGGACCACCAGUGGCGAAGGCGUCUCACCAGAACGGUCCUGACGGCAAGGGACGAAAGCUAGGGGCACGAACCGGAUUAGAUACCCGGGUAGUCCUAGCCGUAAACGAUACUCGCUAGGUGUCAGCCACGGUGCGACCGUGGUUGGUGCCGUAGGGAAGCCGUGAAGCGAGCCACCUGGGAAGUACGGCCGCAAGGCUGAAACUUAAAGGAAUUGGCGGGGGAGCAC